UUAAAAGUAAUGAUAAUAGAUUUGAAAUAAUUAUUAUAUAGAUUUAAAGAGAUAAUCAUAGAAUACAUAAUUAUAGUAUAUAUAUAUAUAUUAAUAUAUAUAUAUAAUAUAAUAAAUUUAUUAAUAGUAAUAUAGGUUACUAAUAAAAUAUAUUAUAUAUAUUUUUAAUACCUAAGGUAAACCAUAUAUAUAUUAAUAUUAAUAUAAUAUUAAUAUAUAAAAUAUAACUUAGUGAACUGAAACAUCUAAGUAACUAAAGGAAUAUAAAUCAACCGAGAUAUUAUGAGUAUUGGUGAGAGAAAAUAAUAAGGUCUUCAAGUAUUAUGUUAGAUAAUAUAUAAGAAUAUUAUUUAUAUAUUUAUAUAUAUAAAUAAAUAAGGAUAAACAAUUUCUAAGACUAAAUACUAUUAAUAAAUAUAAAAAGUACCGUAGGGGAAAGUAUAAUAAAAUGGUUAUUUUAUAAGCAAUCAUAAAUAAUAAUAAAAUAUUAUUAAUGAUGUACCUUUUGUAUAAUGGGUCAGCAAGUAAUAUAUAUAAGCAAAAUAUAUUAAUAUUAUAAUAAAUAUGUUAAUAAUAUAAUUCCAAAUCCUUAAAGAUUUGAGAUCUUAUUAAAAGUUUAUAUAUAUUGACCCGAAAGCUAAUGAUCUUACUAUGAUAAGAUAUAUAAAUGAUCGUACAGGUUGAUGUUGCAAUAUCAUCUGAAUAAUUGUAGUAAGCUAGUGAAAGACAAAUCUGAUUAGCAGAUAGCUGGUUUUCUAUGAAAUAUAUAUAAGUAUAGCUCUUAAUUACCUUUUAUUUAAAGAGGAUUAAAAAUAUAUAAUUAUUUUUAAUAAUAUAAUUAUUAUAUCUUUUUAUAUAUAUUAUAUGUUUACAUAUUUUAUAUAUAAAUAAUGUAAUGAAUGGUACAGCUAUUAAUAUACAUUAGGGAACUAUAAUAGUUUUAUUAAUAAUAUUAAAUCUCGAAAUAUUUAAUUAUAUAAAUUAAGAAGUCAGAUUAUAUGCGAUAAGGUAAAUAAUCAAAAGGGAAACAGCCCAGAUUAAUAUAUAAGGUUCCAAAUAAUAUAAUAAGUGAAAUAAAUAUUUUAAUAUUAUAAUUUAAUCAGUUAAUGGGUUUGACAAUAACCAUUUUUUAAUGAACAUGUAACAAUGCACUGAUUUAUAAUAAAAAUAAUAUUAUAAAAUAAAUAUAUAUAUAUUAUUAUAUAUAUAUUUAUAAAAUAUAUAAUAUACGGAUCUUUUUUAUAAUAUAUUUAUAAAUAUAAAUAUAUAAAAUUAUAUAACCGAAUAUUUAAAUAUUAUUAUUAAUUAUAAUAAUAAUAAUAUGGUAAUAGAACAUCUAAUGAAAAUAUAUAUAAGUUAUUAAUUUAUAUAUAAUAUAUUAUAAUAAAUAAUAUAUUAAUUAAUUAGAUAGAGAAUGCUGACAUGAGUAACGAUAAAAAGGUUUAUAAUCCUUUUCACCUAAAACAUAAGGUUUUAUUAUAAAAGUACGGCCCCUAAUUUAUAUUAUAUAAAUAUAUAAAAGAUGGGAUAAUUCUAAUAUUAAUAAAUAAUAAUAUAUAUUAUAUUUUAUAUAAUAAAUUAUAUAUUCCCUACCGGCCCUCAUGCUUGCAGUUAGGCGAGAGGGGUUAUCAAGAAAUUAUUAAUAUAUAUACCGUAAUGUAAACCGACACAGGUAUGUAAGUAGAGAAUAUGAAGGUGUAUUAGAUAAUUAAGGAGAAGGAACUCGGCAAAAAUAGUUCUAAAAUUAGAUAAGAUAAUAAAAACAAAGUUGUACAACUGUUUACUAAAAACACAGCACUUUGCAGAAAUAUAAAUUAAAGUAUAAGGUGUGAACUCUGCUCCAUGUUUAAUAUAUAAAAUAUAUUAUUAUAUUUGAUAAUAUAUAUAAAUUUAAUCAAAUAGCAGCCUUAUUAUGAGGGUUAUAAUGUAGCGAAAUUCAUUGGCUACUAAAUAUAGUCCUGCAUGAAUGACGUAAUGAUACAACAACUGUCUCCUCCUUAAGCUAAGUGAAAUUGAAAUCGUAGUGAAGAUGCUAUGUAUUUAUAGUAAGACGGAAAGACCCUAUGCAGCUUUACUGUAGUUAGAUAGAUCGAAUAAUUAUAUAUUAUAUUCAGAAUAUUAAGUUAAUAUUAUAUAUAUAUUAUAUAUAUAUAUAAAUAAUCGUUUAGAUAAAAAUGAGAUACUUAUUAUAAUAUUAUAAUUAUUCUAAUCUUAUAAUGUAAUUAUUUAAUAGUUAUAAUUUAUAAUUAUAAUAAUAGAUAUAUUCUUAAAUAAUAAUAGACAAUCUUGUUUUAUCUUUUAGAGAAGAAACAUGAUUAUCUUAUAUCCAUUAGGUUAACUAAUGGGAUAAGAGACAAUCUCUAAUUGGUAGUUUAGAUGGGGCGUCUUGUUCAGCAAAAGUAUCUGAAUCAGUCCAUAUAUAAAAUAUAUAAAAUUAUUAAUAAUAAAAUAUAUAUUAAAUAUAUUAAUUAUAAUAAAAUAUAUAUAUAUUUAUUUAUAUAUAUAUUUAUAAUAGAAUAAAGAUGUACAGUAAUAAAUUGUCUGGAAAACAAUAAUAAAUUUAUAUUUAUAUAUAAAUUACAAUAAAUAUUAAUAAAAUAUAAUGGUAUAACUGUGCUAUAAUUAUAACACAAACAAGUGAAAUAAGUACGUAAGUAUGGCAUAAUGAACAAAUAACACUUAUUGUAAGGGUUAUUGAUAACGAAUAAAAGUUACGCUAGGGAUAACAGGGUAAUAUAACGAAAGAGUAGAUAUUGUAAGUUAUGUUUGCCACCUCGAUGUCGACUCAACCUAUCCUCUUGGUUGUAAAAUUUAAUAAGGGUUUGACUGUUCGUCAAUUAAAAGGUUACGUGAGUUGGGUUAAAUACGAUGUAAAUCAGUAUGGUUCCUAUCUACUAUAAAUAAUAUUAUCAAAUUAAGUCUCAUUAUUAGUACGCAAGGACCAUAACAAUAAACCUAUGGUGUAUCUAUUGAUUAUAUAAUAAUAUAAUAAUAUUAUCUAUAUUAAUUUAUAUAAUAUAAUAUAUAGUCAUAGUAGAUAAGCUAAGUUUAUAAAUAAUAAAUAUUGAAUACAUAUAAAAUAUGAAGUAGUCUUAAUAAGAUAAUUAUUAAUACAGUUAUAGAAGUAAUUAACUUCUAAAGCUAUAUUAACAGUGCCGGGACCCCUGUAAGGGGGCCUUGCACACCGAAGGAGAUAAUUUUAUACUAAAAUAUAAAUAGGUUUUAUAUAUAUUUAUUAUAAUAAAAUACUAAUUUAUCUCUUAUCUAUAUAAUAUCUAAUCU
Molecule: ribosomal RNA, 3282 nt
Filed under: Naumovozyma castellii
Lineage: Eukaryota; Fungi; Ascomycota; Saccharomycetes; Saccharomycetales; Saccharomycetaceae
Description: large subunit ribosomal RNA
Rfam family: Bacterial large subunit ribosomal RNA
Source: RNAcentral